Molecule: small nuclear RNA, 105 nt
Organism: Acinonyx jubatus (cheetah)
Lineage: Eukaryota; Metazoa; Chordata; Mammalia; Carnivora; Felidae
Source: RefSeq, a predicted model, not a curated record
GUGCUGGCUUCAGCAGCACAUAAUACUAAAAUCGGAACAAUACAGAGAUUAGCGUGGCCCCUGCACAAGGAUGACACAGAAUUCAUAAAAGUUUCCAUGAGAGAU